UAUUAUUAACCCACAAAGGGGUGUGGUCAAAUGAUUUGCUGCUGAUAAAUAGGCAGAACACAAACUCAUCAUUACACUAUUGUCUUUCUACAUUAAAUCAACCUCUUCAUCCUUCUUAUCAUUCAGUUAGGCCUCAUUUGGGGACGACAGGUAGCCUAGUGGUUAGAGUGGAGGGGCGGCAGGUAGCCUAGUGGUUAGAGUGGAGGGACCGUCAGGUAGCCUAGUGGUUAGAGUGGAGGGACGGCAGGAAGCCUAGUGGUUAGAGUGUAGAGGCGGCAGGUAGCCUAGUGGUUAGAGUGGAGAGGCGGCAGGAAGCCUAGUGGUUAGAGUGUAGAGGCGGCAGGUAGCCUAGUGGUUAGAGUGGAGAGGCGGCAGGUAGCCUAGUGGUUAGAGUGGAGGGACGGCAGGUAGCCUAGUGGUUAGAGUGGAGGGGCGGCAGGUAGCCUAGUGGUUAGAGUGGAGAGGCGGCAGGUAGCCUAGUGGUUAGAGUGGGGGACGGCAGGUAGCCUAGUGGUUAGAGUGUAGAGGUGGCAGGUAGCCUAGUGGUUAGAGUGUAGAGGUGGCAGGUAGUCUAGUGGUUAGAGUGUAGAGGCGGCAGGUAGUCUAGUGGUUCGAGUGUAGAGGCGGCAGGUAGCCAAAUGGUUAGAGUGUUGAGCCAGUACUUGAAAGGUUGCUGGAUCGAAUCCCC
Molecule: long non-coding RNA, 688 nt
Filed under: Salmo salar (Atlantic salmon)
Lineage: Eukaryota; Metazoa; Chordata; Actinopteri; Salmoniformes; Salmonidae
Description: lncRNA (ENSSSAG00000087414.1)
Source: RNAcentral